This 651-nucleotide ribosomal RNA is filed under the name Streptococcus salivarius. Its description in RNAcentral is "bacterial SSU rRNA". It matches the Rfam family "Bacterial small subunit ribosomal RNA", at positions 370 to 1011 of the family's 1533-position model. Lineage: Bacteria; Bacillati; Bacillota; Bacilli; Lactobacillales; Streptococcaceae. The record is from RNAcentral.
AAUGGGGGCAACCCUGACCGAGCAACGCCGCGUGAGUGAAGAAGGUUUUCGGAUCGUAAAGCUCUGUUGUAAGUCAAGAACGAGUGUGAGAGUGGAAAGUUCACACUGUGACGGUAGCUUACCAGAAAGGGACGGCUAACUACGUGCCAGCAGCCGCGGUAAUACGUAGGUCCCGAGCGUUGUCCGGAUUUAUUGGGCGUAAAGCGAGCGCAGGCGGUUUGAUAAGUCUGAAGUUAAAGGCUGUGGCUCAACCAUAGUUCGCUUUGGAAACUGUCAAACUUGAGUGCAGAAGGGGAGAGUGGAAUUCCAUGUGUAGCGGUGAAAUGCGUAGAUAUAUGGAGGAACACCGGAGGCGAGAGCGGCUCUCUGGUCUGUAACUGACGCUGAGGCUCGAAAGCGUGGGGAGCGAACAGGAUUAGAUACCCUGGUAGUCCACGCCGUAAACGAUGAGUGCUAGGUGUUGGAUCCUUUCCGGGAUUCAGUGCCGCAGCUAACGCAUUAAGCACUCCGCCUGGGGAGUACGACCGCAAGGUUGAAACUCAAAGGAAUCGACGGGGGCCCGCACAAGCGGUGGAGCAUGUGGUUUAAUUCGAAGCAACGCGAAGAACCUUACCAGGUCUUGACAUCCCGAUGCUAUUUCUAGAGAUAGAA